CGUCUAGCUUUGGGGGCUUGAGUCCAGCCCUGUGGGUCCCCGGUGCCUCCCGGGGGUUCUCCUCGUCUGCCUUGGGGGUUGUGUCCAGCCCCAGGCGUCCUGACCACCGCCCAGGGGCCCCCAUGUCUGCCUGGGGGCCUCAAAUCCAGUCCUGGGGGUCCCGGACGCCUCCCAGGGGUCCUCAUAUCUGCCGUGGGCCUCCAGUCCAGCCGUGAGGGUCCCGAAUGCUGCCUUGGAGGGUGGAGUCCAGCUCUGAGGGUCCUGAAGUCAGCUUUGGGGGUUCGAACCCAUCCAUCCCAGGGGUCCCUGAGUCUACAUUAGGGGCUGGAGUCCAGCCUUGAGGGUCUCCACUGCUGCCUUGGGGGCCUGGAUGGGAUCCAGCGGGUCUGAGUCCAGCCUCGGGAGCCCCUGCGGUGGAGCUCUUAGUGGGGCAGGGGCCUGGGAGAUGCCAGGAGGAUGAGAGCGGCGCCCCCCUGGUCCAGGGGACAGUAAGAGGCAGCCGGUCUCAGAGAAGCUCCCCCACAAACUGUUACCCGUGGUGUGCAGAGCGUCCUGCAACCCCAGCCCUCACCAGGAUUUCUUGCGUUUUUCAGGAAAUCGGUUGUGAUUGGCAUGUUCCUUAAGCGUCUGCAGGAAGCCGUGGCCUUUUUGGUAUUUCAGGAGGGGUUGCUAACCCCCCUCCUUGUAGGAUCGGGGUAUCCCAGCUGCUAAUUCCCGUCCUAACAGCCCUGCAGUGCCUGGAUUGGAGGUGUGACAGGUAGCAUUUUCGGCCCGAAGUCCCUAGGCAGGACAGGUGGCUGUAGCCUGCGCGUUCGUGUAAAUUAACCUCCCUUUUUAGUUCUGUGAAGGGAGAACGCGAUUAGUUUAAAAUCACCCACGUGAAAGGGGUUCUUGAUUAGCUUAAAAUCACCUGGGUGUUUCGUUUUCUCUCAGUUGGCCUCUGAAUGUUUAUCCUACAGCUUCCUGCAAGCUCCAGUCUACCUUCUAAGGGAAUAACGGGGCUCGCCUUUCUACGUUACUUUACGUGGGAGUAGUUGUAAAACAGAAUGGGAGAGAACGCGGGGAUUGUGCAAUAAUGUAGCCACCGUUUGCAUGUUGGGAGGCUGAGGUGGGAGGAUCGCUUGAGCCCAGGAGUUUGACACCAGCCUGGGCAACAUGGUAAGACCCCUUCUGUACCCCCCCAAAAAAAAAAUUUUAGCUGGGCGUGGUGGUGGGUGCCUGUGGUCCCAGCUACUCGGGAGGCUGAGGUGGGAGGAUCGCUUGAGCCCAGGAGUUUGACACCAGCCUGGGCAACAUGUCUGGCGUGGUGGUCGGUGCCUGUGGUCCCAGCUACUCGGGACGCUGAGGUGGGAGGAUCGCUUGAGCCCAGGAGUUUGACACCAGCCUGGGCAACAUGUCUGGCGUGGUGGUCGGUGCCUGUGGUCCCAGCUACUCGGGACGCUGAGGUGGGAGGAUUGCUUGAGCCCAGGAGUUUGACACCAGCAUGGGCAACAUGGUAAGAACCUGUAUCUCCAAAAAAAUAGCCAGGCAUCAUGGUGGGUGCCUGUGGUCCCAGCUACUCGGGAGGCUGAGGUGGGAGGAUUGCUUGAGCCCGGGAGUUUGACACCAGCAUGGGCAACAUGGUAAGAACCCAUAUCUACAAAAAAAAAAAAAAAAAAGAAUUAGCCGGGUGUGGUGUGUGGGUGCCUGUGGUCCCAGCUACACCAUGAGUGGAAUUGUGACGUGCACAGCCUGGGUAAAUGGGGUUAGCUAUAUUCAGCCUUAAGGGGGCACAUACCCUAUUAUUUCUAACACCACUGAACUCAGAAUCGGGACCCAGAUUCGCCGGGGCAGCGCGGGACGGAGGCCUCUCCUGGGCUCCGUCUUCCCUGUUAAUAGACUGAGAGACGGAAUGAGGGCGUCCCCAGGUGGUGAGCUCGGGGACGUGUGUGUAGCCAUGAUUAUCCUUUAGUACCUGGUCCCCGUGCCCUCCGAGCCAUCCAAGGGCUUCAGGAGGCCGCGCAGGAGGAGGGUCCGUAAGCGAUUCCACGGACCACCACGCAGGCCCUGACCCCGCCAGGGGCCCUUUGGAGGGUGAGCCCUGCGUGUUGGGGGGAUGAUGGCUCCGGAGGGUGAGCUCUGGGAUGAGAGGGGACGUGCAGGUGGCCGCAUUGCAGGCACAGCUGGCUCGGGACCUGGGCGCCACCUGGCGUCGACUCAGCUCGCUCCUGAGCUGUGCCUCUUCCUUGUCUUACGUUGGGGAUAAAAAGCCAUAGAUGGCCGGGCGCGGUGGCUCAGGCCUGUCAUCCCAGCACUGUGGGAUACCAAUGCAGGAGGGUUGCCUCAGCCCAGGGGUUCGAGACCAGCCUGGCCAGCAUAGCGAGACCCUCUUCUCUGUAACAAUUUUUUUUUUCUUUUUUCUUUCAUUUGAAACGGUCUCGGUCUGUCACCCAGGCUGGAGUGCAAUGGCGCGAUCUCGGCUCAGCGCAACGUCCGCCUCCCGGAUUUAAGUGAUUCUCCUGCCUCAGCCUCCUGAGUAGCUGGGAUUACAGGUGUGCACCACUGUGCCCGGCUAAUAUUGUAUUUUUAGUAGAGACGGGGUUUCACCAUGUUGGCCAGGCUGGUCUUGAACUCCUGACCUCAGGGGAUCCACCCGCCUCCGCCUCCCAAAGUGCUGGGAUGACAGGUGUGAGCCACCGUGCCUGGCCCUGAGAAACUUAAAAAUUAGCCGGGCCUGGUGGUGGGGCACCUGUCCUUCCAGCUGCUAGGGAGGCUGAGGCAGGAGGAUCUCCUGAGUCUAGGAGGCUAACGCUGCUGUGAGCUGUGAUUGCACCCCUGCACUGGCAGCUGGGGCAACAGAGUGAGACCCUCUGUCUAAAAACCUCAUAGGAACGGAUGUUUCCAGGGUGCGUGGUCUGUGUUGGGAGCUUCUCGCUGGACAUAGAUCUCUGCUGCUUUCCUUUUUUUUUUUUUUUUUGAGAUGGAGUUUCGCUCCUGUUGCCCAGGCUGGAGUGCAAUGGCGCGAUCUCAGCUCACCGCAACCUCCGCCUCCUGGGUUCAAGCGAUUUUCCCGGGUUCAAACGAUUCUCCUGCCUCAGCCUUCCUGAGUAGCUGGGAUUACAGGUGUGCACCACCAUGCCCGGCUAAUUUUUAUUUUUAGUAGAGACGGGGUUUCUCCAUGUUGGUCAGGCUGGUCUUGAACUCCCGACGUCAGGUGAUCCACCCGCCUCGGCCUCCCAGAGUGCUGGGAUGACAGGCGUGAGCCACCGCGCCCGGCUUCUUUCAGGUUUUUAUAUGUAACUUUGCCGCUCAGUCGGUACUGAAGCCGUUAUGUGGAGGCCUGCCUGGUGAGAUGUGGCCGCCACAGUGUGGCUGGUAUUCGAAACACACAGGAGGCCGCAGCCAGCUUAGCAGAAACACCAGGGCUUUCGGAACUUGGUUUUGAGAGUUUCCUGUUUUCUUGACUUUCAUAUACCAUUGAUGUAAUGACUGUUGGUGGGGAAAAAGCUAUUAAAGAUUCCUGUGGAUGGUGAGAUGACCUUGGUUUCAGAAACACCGAGACAUAGAGAAUUGCGCAUUUUAGAAUCCAGUAAAUCUACGCUGGGCACGGUGGCUCAUGCCUGUCAUCCCAGCACUUUGGGAGGCCGAGGUAGGUGGAUCACCUGAGGUCAGGAGUUCGAGACCAACCUGGCCAACAUAGUGAGAACCUGUCUCUACUAAAAAUACAAAAAAUUAGCCGGGCGUGCUGGCAGGUGCCUGUAAUCCCAGCUGCUCUGGAAGCUGAGGUGGGAGAAUUGCUUGAACCCGGGAGGCAGAGGUUGCAGUGAGCUGAGACCAUGCCGCUGUACUCCAGCCUGGGUGA
Gorilla gorilla gorilla (western lowland gorilla) is the source of this 3841-nucleotide long non-coding RNA. RefSeq lists it as uncharacterized. Lineage: Eukaryota; Metazoa; Chordata; Mammalia; Primates; Hominidae. The transcript has 3 exons. The record is from RefSeq and is a predicted model, not a curated record.